UUGCUCUUUAACAAUUUGGAAAGCUGACUGAUUUAGCUUAAUUUAUCUUUACUUUUUAAAAGUAAAACAAAACAGCUCAGGCUGUAAUUAAGUUAAAUCAAAAUUUAAAAGUUCUUAAUAUCUUUUGUUUAUCUUUAGAUAAACAAAUUAAAAACACAUUCAAGUGUUCUUGUAUUUUGAAUCCGGCGAAAAACCAGAACUCUCAAUGAAGAGUUCAACCUUGGUUGCUGUUUUGUCUUCAUUUUUGAAAAGUGAAAGCAAACGUCCAUACGAAACCUCUUGGGGUUGUAU
Molecule: unclassified non-coding RNA, 291 nt
Filed under: Aliivibrio salmonicida
Lineage: Bacteria; Pseudomonadati; Pseudomonadota; Gammaproteobacteria; Vibrionales; Vibrionaceae
Description: partial miscellaneous RNA
Source: RNAcentral